CAGCAUCCAAGUGUAAGCUCCAGAUGGUUCCUAUGGCCUGCAAGACAAUUUGCUCCUCUUCUAUUUAUCAUCUUCCAGAUGCUCUAGAAAGACAACAAUGUUCUUGAUCUUUCCAAUCUGUUUUUUGUAAGAUGCGUUUGUGCAUCUUCUCCUCCCUGAUCUAAGACAUCACAAUAAGGCUGCUCGAUCUUAAACCCACAUCCAAUUCCUUGGUUUUUCUCGACAAGACACUGUAACUGGAUUGUUGUUCUUAAGGUGCAUGCUCAGGCUCGAUGAAUGCCCUGGAUGAAUUGGAGUAACCGCAAAGUACUCCUACAAAAAAAAAUGUUGACAGGAGCUUCACUAACAUGGACAUUUAUUGAUGCUAAAAAAACAUGGACAUUUAAAGUCUAUUAAAAAAUACAUUAUUUAGUAAUUCUAAAAUAAGAAAGUAAAUCAUAGACUAGCCCGUGCAUUACCGCAACCCUCUCUAGUUAGGACAUGUGCGACGUUAUGCACAGAUCGUCGCACCCAGACUACCCUAUAAUCCUGGAAAGAUUUUAGUUAGUCCUUCACCUCCUGAACAAGAUGCCCCAUAAGCAGAUAGAUCUUUCAUAUCGUCCUUCACCUCCUGAACAAAAUUGCAGUAUACGAGCGCAGCUUUCCUUGCCAACAGUGGCCUUUGUGCAAAACAGGGCACGAAGAUAAAUCUUCUGACAUGUGAGCAUGGAACAAGGUCACGGAGGCGGAGCUUGACAAACAAUUCGAGUCGGAGGCCACAGUGUUGGGCGGCAUACAGCACAGAAACAUCAUCAAGCUGCCCGGCUACAUCUCUGGAGUGGACACCAAGCUGCUGGUAUACGAGUAUAUGGUGAGGAUAAGCGCGCACAAAUUCCCCUUCAUGCUCUGAAGUAUCAUCACAAAUUCGAGAUUGAGAUCGGGUAGAAGUAUCACCGUGCAAGCGGAUAAUGUAAAGCAUCAGAACAUCACAAAUUCGAGAUUGACAUCAAAGUAUCAAUCACCAACACAGGGCCAACAAUGUAACACACAGGUACACUACCUACUUUUGUCACAACAGUAGGCGGUGAUUGAUACUUUGAUGUCAAUCUCGAAUUUGUGAUGUUCUGAUGUUUUACAUUAUCCGCUUGCACGAUGAUACUUCUAGCCGAUGCAAGCCUCUCAAUCUCGAAUUCUUGAUGAUACUUCAAAGCAUGAAGGGGAAUUUGUGCGCACUUAUCCUUACCAUAUAUUCGUAUACCAGCAGCUUGGUGUCCACUCUGGAGAUGUAGCCGAGCAGCUUGACGGUGUUUCUCUGCCGUAUGCCGCCCAACACCGUGGUCUCCGACUCUAAGUCUCUAACUGUUUGUCAAGCUCCGCCUCCGUCCUUGCUCCAUGCCCUCAUGUCAGAAGAUUUAUCUUCAUGCCCUGUUUGGCACAAAGGCCACUGUUGGCAAGGAAGCUACGCUCGUACGCUGCAAUUUGCAGCGACGGUGACACCUCGCCCAUGAGGUUGUUGCAGGACAGGUUUAGCGCACCGGAGUUCAGGUUGUUGAAGUCCAGAGGUAUCCCGCCGGUGAGCUCGAUCUGGAGGAACAAGAAGAUUGUUUUGGACAUUUUCGUGUGCUGUGAACAAAACGAAACCCUCGGAUGAGAGCUCUGAGUGACACAGGCAAACGAGUUGGGCAUGGUGACUGUGGUACUCGAGUUGGGAAUGGUCACUGUGGUGUGAGUUGGGAAUGGUGACUGCAGUUGAUAGGAGGGCCAUAUAUAUAGACAGUUUGUGUGACUGCAAAACACAUGGUAUCUCUCCUUUGUGCGCUGGGUGCAGGCACUUGUUCCAUCAACAUCAGACUAUUCUGGUUCUUCCCUUGAUGGUGAGGAUAAUUUAUCGAAGAGAAUGCGAUUGGACUGUCUUCAAAAGCACAAAAAAUUGUUCAGGCAGGCAGUUAUCAGGGCUAAUGAUCACAGAGAAAAAAGAUGGUGAAAUUAUUGCCACCAGAUCGACACGUUCGUCCAUAACAGUACUCGGUUAAUCUGAAGAACAACGGUUCCAAGUUGACAUGCUUUUACAUGCAGGAGUUACAGGAUAAUGCUCUGAAGUUUUAAAGAAAAUGGCAUUCUUGUUCUGAUCGAGCAUCUUAUCUCAGCCCGAAUCAAAUCUACUGAAUGGCAUAAACGAACUUUCUAUCAGACCAUUCAUGAUGCUACAAGUUUAAGCGAGGAAUUUGGUUCUGGGAGCUGAACCAUCACCUCAUGUGCCUUGCUGUCAAAAAGACAGGAAAAUGUAGCAAACUGAUAAAGCAUUGCAGGAGAAGAUAUUUUGGAGCAUAAAAAACUUUACAAAGUCGAGUCGUGGUAUACUAGUUACCUAGGGGCACUGAUGAUUGCAUCGCUCUCUUUCUGCGCCGGUGCAGGCAUUUGUUCCUCCAACGUCAGACUGUUCU
Molecule: long non-coding RNA, 2423 nt
Filed under: Triticum aestivum (bread wheat)
Lineage: Eukaryota; Viridiplantae; Streptophyta; Magnoliopsida; Poales; Poaceae
Description: long non-coding RNA (TAES_LNC027044)
Source: RNAcentral